This 542-nucleotide ribosomal RNA is filed under the name Klebsiella oxytoca. Its description in RNAcentral is "partial 23S ribosomal RNA". It matches the Rfam family "Bacterial large subunit ribosomal RNA", at positions 1 to 582 of the family's 2925-position model. Lineage: Bacteria; Pseudomonadati; Pseudomonadota; Gammaproteobacteria; Enterobacterales; Enterobacteriaceae. The record is from RNAcentral. RNAcentral also lists the same sequence under 2 other names.
GGUUAAGCGACUAAGCGUACACGGUGGAUGCCCUGGCAGUCAGAGGCGAUGAAGGACGUGCUAAUCUGCGAAAAGCGUCGGUAAGGUGAUAUGAACCGUUACAGCCGGCGAUGUCCGAAUGGGGAAACCCAGUGCAAUUCGUUGCACUAUCGUUAACUGAAUACAUAGGUUAACGAGGCGAACCGGGGGAACUGAAACAUCUAAGUACCCCGAGGAAAAGAAAUCAACCGAGAUUCCCCCAGUAGCGGCGAGCGAACGGGGAGCAGCCCGGAGUCUGAAUCAGCUUGUGUGUUAGUGGAAGCGUCUGGAAAGUCGCAGGGUACAGGGUGAUACUCCCGUACACUAAAACACACAGGUUGUGAACUCGAAGAGUAGGGCGGGACACGUGGUAUCCUGUCUGAAUAUGGGGGGACCAUCCUCCAAGGCUAAAUACUCCUGACUGACCGAUAGUGAACCAGUACCGUGAGGGAAAGGCGAAAAGAACCCCGGCGAGGGGAGUGAAAAAGAACCUGAAACCGUGUACGUACAAGCAGUAGGAGCCC